Molecule: non-coding RNA, 272 nt
Organism: Myodes glareolus (Bank vole)
Lineage: Eukaryota; Metazoa; Chordata; Mammalia; Rodentia; Cricetidae
Source: RefSeq, a predicted model, not a curated record
AGAUUUCCGGGGCCAUUAGGCACCUCUGUCUGGGGAUUUGUCCGCACAUCCGUGGCUCUGGAACCCGGAAGUAAUAUCACAGGGAACAUGGAAUAUACCUGUUUUUGAAAGAUUGACCAAAGAGGCCCCAUGAUCCACUACUCUAUACCGCCCAGUCCUGGGAUGAUAGGGAAACACUUGGACAGUCCUCCUUAGGCUUUAGUAAUCCACUCAAGUCGCUGUUCUGAAACCACAACCAUGAAGGCAUGAAGGAGAAGAAAUGUACCUGCAAG